RNAcentral lists this ribosomal RNA (497 nucleotides) under uncultured bacterium. RNAcentral's name for it is "partial 16S ribosomal RNA". It matches the Rfam family "Bacterial small subunit ribosomal RNA", at positions 28 to 507 of the family's 1533-position model. The record is from RNAcentral.
GACGAACGCUGGCGGCGUGCCUAAUACAUGCAAGUAGAACGCUGAAGCGAGGAGCUUGCUCUUCUUGGCUAAGUUGCGAACGGGUGAGUAACGCGUAGGUAACCUGCCUUGUAGCGGGGGAUAACUAUUGGAAACGAUAGCUAAUACCGCAUAACAAUGGAUGACACAUGUCAUUUAUUUGAAAGGGGCAAUUGUUCCACUACAAGAUGGACCUGCGUUGUAUUAGCUAGUAGGUGAGGUAAUGGCUCACCUAGGCGACGAUACAUAGCCGACCUGAGAGGGUGAUCGGCCACACUGGGACUGAGACACGGCCCAGACUCCUACGGGAGGCAGCAGUAGGGAAUCUUCGGCAAUGGGGGCAACCCUGACCGAGCAACGCCGCGUGAGUGAAGAAGGUUUUCGGAUCGUAAAGCUCUGUUGUAAGUCAAGAACGGGUGUGAGAGUGGAAAGUUCACACUGUGACGGUAGCUUACCAGAAAGGGACGGCUAACUACGUG